Rattus norvegicus (Norway rat) is the source of this 7005-nucleotide non-coding RNA. The record is from RefSeq and is a predicted model, not a curated record. NCBI's taxonomy places the organism in Eukaryota, Metazoa, Chordata, Mammalia, Rodentia, Muridae.
AUUAAAUGUGUUUAAUUUUUAAAAAAUUAGCAAAAACAUGCCACACAAUCUCUCUCCUCCCACUCAGCCCAUUAAGGUUUGGCCUCUGGGACUCCUGGGUAAAAGCUGUUUGCUCCUGGAGCCCUCCCCUCUCACUUCUGCCCAUGCUCUUCAUGUUCAAUAUAAAAUGUAAAGUAGCUAUAACUGGGAAUUUCUAACUUAACAUGAGCCUGUAUAGGAGCCUAUAUAGGACUUGAGUGUUUUGGGUACAGUUUUCUGCUGCAAUUCACCAAAUCUGACCUGGUAAAAGGCCCAAAUAAGAAAUCUGGACAUAUUUUUUAGAGCUACAUUUAAACACUUAAAAAAUAAAAGCAGUUGGUACUGUAGAAAUGACACAACACUUAAGAUCACUUACUGACUUUCCAGAGGACAGGUUCAGUUUGCUCCCCAAUGUGAACUUGCUAGCUAACAACCAUCUCCAGUCCCAGUGGGUCUGAGGCCCUCUUCUGGCCUCCAAGACCAUUGCACUCAUGUGGUGCAAUGUAUACAGGUGCUAGUAAAACACCCAUACACACCAUUUAAAAACAGAAAAAGCAAACAAACAAACAAAAAGGAACAAUGAAACUGCAGCUGUCAGAAAGUCACAUUCACUUGCCCUGUCUCUUCCUGCUUAGAAGCAGGAAACAACACCCCACUUUGAGGCUGCACAGGUUGCAUUCCACCUACGAAGGGUGAACAUUUACUACAGGUUCCAUGGAGUACACAUAAAAAACACUAUGACCUAAUCUGAAAUGAACCUUCCCAAGUGUCCAGUUAGGUCUGAUGUGGGUCUUAAUUUAUGAGGGCUCCUAAAUCAUGUGCUACUCAUUCAUGUAUGUCUUUCUCUUGAGAAUCAUUGUCACAGUGACCCCAACUGAAAAACUGGAAAAUUAGAUCAUAAUGGAUUCAUUCUUCUACCUCCCCUAUGUACUUUUUAUACAAGAAAAAUAUUUAAAAGCAUCUCAAAAUAUCUGGUACUCAUUCAUCCCCUGUCCCAAUGCAUGCUUGUUGUCAGAUUAGUAAAGUCUCUUCUGACUUUUCUUCCUGACAAAAUAGGAAGCUACUUCUUCCCCUGAAGAAAACCCCGCGUAGGUUUCAAUCUUAGAAGACACAUCACCUUAAGAUAAACUGGAUCUAUACCUCAUCGUUACUUGUAUAGUUCAACAAAGAAGAUAAAAGUUAACAUAAUUAAUAUAAAUAUAUAAAUAUAAAAAAUAAAUAGAUACAAAAAUUAUGUACGCAAUAACCAUCUGACUUGGGAAGACCAACUGUAUAUUGCUAUCUAUAAACCAUUUAGGGCCCUCAGUUAACAUCUUGCCAGAAAAAAAUAAAUGACUUAUGGAAUUCUGAUCGAAGACAGAAUACCCAGGCUUCUUGAUGAAAUCAGCUUUAAUGUGAAUACACAGUAUGUGAUGAACUGAUGUUCAUAAACAAAUAACAAGGAAUUUAGAAAAACAGAGCCUAUUAAAUGAUUUUUGGUUUGUGUGUUUCUCUCAUACAUGGGGACCUACAAUGUGAUUGGGAAUUGAAGAUUAUAAGACAAGGAUUGCAAGAAUGAGAGGGAGGGAGGAAGGAAAGGGCUCCAGGUGAGAUUAUUCAGUGUCCCACUUACAAAUGACUGAACCGGCCAGCCUAUGUAUGCAAAUUAACCAGUCCCUGUGGCUGUGUCCUGUUUUUUCUCCUAAGGCUAGGGACCUAUCCCAUAAUACAACAACAGUUCUUGGAAAAUAAAUAAGAAUACCAACUGAAUUACUUCAUUUAGAAUGUCAAAAUGAUUCUGCUGCAGUAAGAUAUCAAGGAAACCUCAACUAUGGUCCACAUUUUCAUGGUAAUCCUACAGACAUCCAGUUAAGCCAUAGCCAGACAAGCAGAAACUAGAAGACACUUCAACUGUUCAGUUUAAAGCUACUGAAUUUUUAAAAACCUGUUAUGCAAAAUAGAUAAUUAAGCGGACUAACACUAUCUAAAUAAAAUGUGAACAGAAACAAGUCAUAAAAUGAAGGAAAGGUUACAGGGGGGAAAUGAUCUAUUAUUAAGUAAAAAUACUUGUAUCACACUUCAGUAAUGUAUACUCACUUUGGGACUAACAUGAACAAGUGCUAGUGGUCAUUAGCAAGUUUUUAAACCUUUACAUCUCAACUAAAUUUACCAAUUUAAAGCUCAUAAAAGAUGUGCUUGAAGGAUAGACAGGUCACCCAGCAAUAUGUUAAGAUGCUUGGGAAGUAAAAUCGUCUUAUAUUCACUUUGAACCUGGUAAACUGAAAGGAAAGAACAAGAUUCUUCCCAUUACUGUGCACCGCAGAAAUAUGCAAACGAGAAGUCACCAAUCUGAACUCUGAUUGGACCAAAUUUCGAAACCCUGUGAAUUUGAAAGAAAUGACUAUUUUGCAAGGGAUACUAUAGGUUGCUUGACCACCCCUAGGUUAAUUUUGUACCCUGUAGAUUCUUUUUAUAGUUGCUAUUAACCGACCAUAUUGUAAUUUGAAAAUAAACUGUCAUUGUCCCGUUUGUGCCUGAAAAUAAGUAAAGUUCUAUAACAUGGGCAAGAACAAAGUAUUAUUUGUCUUGGAGCCUCAGGUCUCCUCAGAAACACAAGACCUUUGUGACCACACAAAGGACCUUCAGAAACGCGCCGCCAUCCUUUUCAAUGUUUUGGGUAGUUUCUCGCUCUGCUUAAACAAAAAACCAAGUGACCGCACUGAAGUCUCUACAGAGAAAUUUAAUUUACACUUUAAACACAAACUACACUUGUCAUUUCUGUGACACUAACGCGUGGAAAAUAAUAGGCGCGGAAAGGUUUCCGUAGGUGACCGUAGUUCCGGGAACCUGAGGUGGGAAUCAGCCUCGCUCCUGACAGGUUAUCGGCGCCAGAUGAACUGAAUUAGCAAUUCCCAGAUAUGAGAAAUACAUAUAUAUAUGAGAAAUAACUAUCAGGAAAAUGGCCAAGACAGGGAAAUGGUUUAACUAAAAUUGUGGAGCACUUUGUUCUGGAAACAUGCUUUGUGUAUAGUAAGUCCGGCUCAUAACCGGAAGACGACACAAGAAACGCUCGUCCUUAAAAUGUCUCCGGGCUUAAGUGUGUCACAGCCUUUUAGAGACUGAUUUAAGGGAGCGGAAUUACCACAGGUUAUUUACCAAUCAAAAGUUGCACUACAAGAGUCAGCCAAUCCUAAAUCCCUAGAUGCACUUCCGCAAAUUCCGACGGAAGUCUGAGUUGAGCUGGCCAGGGUCCAAUCAGAGCGAAGUAUUUCCAGCAUAAAUAGCAGCGGCGCUAGAGCACAACACCGGAAUUUUUCUCUGCCGCAUUUGCUAUGGCCCGUACCAAGCAAACAGCUCGCAAGUCCACCGGCGGCAAGGCUCCGCGCAAGCAGCUGGCCACCAAGGCCGCCCGCAAGAGCGCCCCGGCCACCGGCGGCGUGAAGAAGCCCCACCGCUACCGUCCCGGCACCGUGGCUCUGCGCGAGAUCCGGCGCUACCAGAAGUCGACCGAGCUGCUGAUCCGCAAGCUGCCAUUCCAGCGCCUGGUGCGCGAGAUCGCGCAGGACUUCAAGACCGACCUUCGCUUCCAGAGCUCGGCAGUCAUGGCCCUUCAGGAGGCCAGCGAGGCCUACCUUGUGGGUCUGUUUGAGGACACCAACCUAUGCGCCAUCCACGCCAAGCGUGUGACCAUCAUGCCCAAGGACAUCCAGCUGGCUCGCCGUAUCCGCGGUGAAAGAGCUUAAGUAGCAUUCUUUCUAUAUUGGCACGUGAUCUGAACUAAAAAAGGCUCUUUUAAGAGCCGCUUCCACUGUCCACAAGAGAUGCUGUGGUGCUAGUUUGCAAGGUGUAUGGCGGGACCACCCUCUUUCAUUCAGCUCCCUUGUCUUUCUUGACCCGGAUUAGCAACAGCACUCAGACCAGCUUGAGCUACCAGGGUUUGGGGGCAAGGGCUUUCAUUGUGUUUUCCGUCUUAAUUUUCUUUCAGGUUUCAGGCCUUAAAGUGACCAGGAAACAUUUUAGUUACUCUGGUCACUAAACAUUUUGAUAGAAUGUAGCACAGUUUUCGAAGGCAACAAAGCUUUUACCUUUUGGUUACUUGUUCUGUUUUGAUUUUUUUCAAAGACUUUCUCCGUGUCUUCUAAUUAUACCAACACCUGGGUUACGGGCAGGCAAAUCUCUGAACUAACCAACCUGUUGUAGCAAGUUACAUUAAAAAUAAAUCCUAACAUUUAAAAAAAUCUUUGAAAAGACUUAGAAGGAAGCUCAAGAACUAUUUUUUAUAGUUUAACCUGGGAAAGAAUAGCAAGAAAACUAGUAAAUAUUGACUGGUAUCUAAAGAAGAAAGUGAUACUAGGAAGCAAAUAACCAUGCCCUUUCCCAGAAAGCAAGUUCAGCCAUUGCUGAACAGCUGUAAAGAAGGUGGAAGGAAUUCAGAGAAAACAGAAUCCUGGACUAUCAAAUUCAAACAGGUUUGGGAUUCUGGUCUGUGGCCAAUAAUGAUAGAGGGGGGGAAAAAAGCCAUGGUGGUACAUGAGUUUAAUCUACUCUUCUACUCCUCUGAGACUCCACCCCACCCCCUUGGCCAGCAGAGGGGCAGGCAUGGUCUAGAUAGAAAGUUCUGGUCAAGCCAGGAGUGCACAGUGUCUCUUGAGAAAAAAAAAGGCGGGGGAAACAGAGAGGAGAAAGAGAAAGGGGGUGAAAAUGUUUCCUCUUCGAGUUUAAACUUAGAAAAUACAGCAGUAAACAUCAUCCUAAAGAACCUACUGGAGCAUGUAAGUGGAUUAUCCCAUUAAGGCAAUAAUUUUUUUUCUCAGGUCUUUAAGACAUCUUUAGGAAAACGAACUUUUGGGGGGAAAGGGGAACUGGAGGAGUCUCCUAGCAAAAUAAUAAAUAAAAAAUAUUCUAAACUUUAGGCAAAAUAAGAAUGCCAUGUUUCUACCCAAGGCCAGAGUUAGAAACAUUAGAAUUCAUUCCUCUGGCAAAAGAGAGGUAGAUUUCUCCCAGUGAGAUUUAAAGAAACCCUGAUACCUCCCUCCCUUCCCCCUCCCAUCAUCAGGGACGAUGACUGACUUCAGUUGCUUCUAAACUUAAUACCAAUCUUGACAACCAAUAAAAAUAAUAGUUGAUGUUCAAAUGCUUUUAGAAUAAAGCAUGAAAUAAUUCAAUUAAAAUCACAGGUGAAUCUUGUAAUAUAUGUGUACCUUUUUAAAACCCAAAACAACCCAUAACAUAACAUUUUAAAAUGUCUUUUACUAUAACUAAGUUAUUUUUAUUCUUUAUUACUUUAUUUCCAACAUGUAAUAAUAUAAAAAUGAAUCUAAAAGUUCAGGCUUUCCAGCUAAAGAGAUGCCUCAUAGGUUAAGAACAUUGACUACUAUUACAGAGGUCAAGUUAAUUUCCCUGAAACCACAUAGUGGCUCACAACCAUCUUUAAUGGGAUCUGAUACCCUCUUCUGGUAUAAAGACAGUGUACUCAUAUGCAUAAAAUGAAUAAAUAAAUUUUCUAAAAAAAAAAAAAAACAUGUUCAGUCUUUCACAUUGCAGGCUGAAAUUUUCAUUUGAAAAAAAAAUGACAUCGUAAACACUUCCAAUUUUAUGUAUUUUCUCCCACAUUGAAAUUUAUGAAAACUAAUAACUAUAUCUAGGCUGCUCAUCAGCACAUACAUACAGGUAGUGCCUACACUCUGAUACUUCAUCUAAAAGAUGAAAAUCUAUGUAACAGAGUGAGAGAUACAGAACGUUGUGUAGUCGUUUCAGGAUUACAAGUAUAAAUUUUCUUUUAAAACCCUAAACUUAAUCAGAAGAUAUGGAAGGUAACAUGCCUAUAAUCCCAAAACUUUGGAAAUUGAGGAGAAAGAACCAGAAAUUGAAGAUUAUCCUUAGCUAUAUAUCAAGUUUGAGUCUAUCGUGAGUUAAGUAAGAAAGAUCUGUCUCAAAAUGAGACAUUUAAUCCCAAGACUGGUAAACAAAAAGCCAACACAGUCUAUAUCAGGAAGAUAUAUAGAUAUCUAUAGAUAGAUAGAUAGAUAGAUAGAUAGAUAGAUAGAUAGAUAGAGAUAGAGAUACAGAGAUAGAGAUCGAUAGAUACAUAGAUACAUAGAUAGAUAGAUAGAUAGAUAGAUAGAUAGAUAGAUAGAUCUCCCAGGAUAUGUAAUGAUAUCCUAUCUCAAAAUAAAAUAAUUGUAAGCUUCAACAUAAUAUAAUGAGCUAAGUUCAGAAGCAGCUUCAGAAAUGAGAGUUCUUACCUUCCACACUCUCCUUUUUACACCUCCUCCCAAAGGAAGGUUUAAAAACAAGAAUAUCCCUUCCUCAAUGUAAGAAAACCAGACCUAACUAUUUUUCCCAAAGUAAGCAAAAACUACUAAAACAUUCAUCUUCACCAACCUCUUUGUCUUGCAGCUAGCAGUAACAAUCAUGAUGAUGAUGAUGAGGAGGAGGAGGAGGAGGAUGGUGAUUUUUAAAAUGCUACAAACCUCCCUUAUCCAAAAGCAGAUCAAGAUGAAGCAUUACCACUUAGAGAGUUGUGUCCAUACCCGAAAAAAGAAUGUAACACAGGGCAAAGAAGUACUGGAAACAAAUCUGGCUAGAUUUCUGCAUACAUUAUACCAGAAGUAAAUUAUAUACACUCCCUACAGUCAUAAUUCUACACAUUGGUAUGUUUUAGGCAGCUGUGUCUCGCACAUGCAGAAAAUUAAAACAGUGUCUUUUUGUUGUUUUCUUUUUUUCUAGAAAUUGAAACUUGAACCUGUGUCUGUAAUGUCAAGGUGAUAUGAAAAGACAGCAGAAGGAUUCAAAAAUGUCAAGGCCUGAAGCAUUCUACCAGAGCCAGUCAUGUGACAACACCUAGACUACAGGCAACUAAGCAAACAAAUCAUGGGCAGAUCAUGUAUGAAUAUUCCUUCCCACAAAGUGAAGUUUUACUGUGAAUAAAGAAUAUGCAGUUCCCCUGUAAUCAUGACCCUAUCAGUGUUUUAUUACUGAAGAAUAAAAUGUUUAAAUUACCCAUGG